UGAAGCAAAUCGCACCAAAGCCAGUCCCAGUUCGGAUAAGAGGCUGAAACUCGCCUCUUUGAAGUCGGAAUCGCUAGUAAUCGCAGAUCAGCAUGUUGCGGUGAAUACGUUCCCGGGUCUUGUACACACCGCCCGUCAAACCAUGAGAGUCACCAACACCCGAAGUCCGCCUUGGCGGCCUAAGGUGGGGGAGAUGAUUGGGGUUAAGUCGUAACAAGGUAUC
This 223-nucleotide ribosomal RNA is filed under the name uncultured bacterium. RNAcentral describes it as "partial 16S ribosomal RNA". It matches the Rfam family "Bacterial small subunit ribosomal RNA", at positions 1263 to 1500 of the family's 1533-position model. The record is from RNAcentral.